UACGUAGGGUCCGAGCGUUGUCCGGAAUUAUUGGGCGUAAAGGGCUCGUAGGCGGUUAGUCGCGUCGGGAGUGAAAACUCAGGGCUCAACCCUGAGCGUGCUUCCGAUACGGGCUGACUAGAGGUAUGCAGGGGAGAACGGAAUUCCUGGUGUAGCGGUGGAAUGCGCAGAUAUCAGGAGGAACACCGGUGGCGAAGGCGGGUCUCUGGGCAGUAACUGACGCUGAGGAGCGAAAGCGUGGGGAGCGAACAGG
This 253-nucleotide ribosomal RNA is filed under the name uncultured bacterium. Its description in RNAcentral is "partial 16S ribosomal RNA". It matches the Rfam family "Bacterial small subunit ribosomal RNA", at positions 524 to 776 of the family's 1533-position model. The record is from RNAcentral.